GACGAACGCUGGCGGCGUGCUUAACACAUGCAAGUCGAACGGAAAGGCCUCUUUCGGGGGGUACCCGGAUGGGCAACGAACGGGUAACUCGUGCGUAACGUGCCUGUGAUUUUGCGAUAACUUCAGUAUACUGGCGCUAGUAACGAACACGUGCUCACUCUGCACGGAGGGGGUUGGAAUGAUACGGCGGAUGGCGAUGGACUCGCGGCUUAUCGGCUUGUUGGAGGGAUAGUGGCUGACCAAGGCUCUGACGGGUAGUCGUCCUGAGAGGGUGAGCGGCCACAAUGGGACUGAGAGACGGCCCAGACUCCUACGGGAGGCAGCAGUGGAGAGUAUUGCACAAUGGGUGGGAGCCAGAUGCGGCAACGCCGUGUGCGGGAUGACGGGCUUCGGGUUGAAAACCGUGUUCGCUCAUGACGGAGCUUUGUGUGACGGUAGUGGGUAAGGAAGCACCGGCUAACUACGUG
RNAcentral lists this ribosomal RNA (467 nucleotides) under uncultured bacterium. RNAcentral describes it as "partial 16S ribosomal RNA". It matches the Rfam family "Bacterial small subunit ribosomal RNA", at positions 28 to 507 of the family's 1533-position model. The record is from RNAcentral.